CCUACGGGCGGCAGCAGUGGGGAAUAUUGCACAAUGGGCGCAAGCCUGAUGCAGCCAUGCCGCGUGUGUGAAGAAGGCCUUCGGGUUGUAAAGCACUUUCAGCGGGGAGGAAGGCAGUGAGGUUAAUAACCUCAUCGAUUGACGUUACCCGCAGAAGAAGCACCGGCUAACUCCGUGCCAGCAGCCGCGGUAAUACGGAGGGUGCAAGCGUUAAUCGGAAUUACUGGGCGUAAAGCGCACGCAGGCGGUCUGUCAAGUCGGAUGUGAAAUCCCCGGGCUCAACCUGGGAACUGCAUUCGAAACUGGCAGGCUAGAGUCUUGUAGAGGGGGGUAGAAUUCCAGGUGUAGCGGUGAAAUGCGUAGAGAUCUGGAGGAAUACCGGUGGCGAAGGCGGCCCCCUGGACAAAGACUGACGCUCAGGUGCGAAAGCGUGGGGAGCAAACAGGAUUAGAUACCCGGGUAGUC
Molecule: ribosomal RNA, 465 nt
Filed under: uncultured Klebsiella sp.
Lineage: Bacteria; Pseudomonadati; Pseudomonadota; Gammaproteobacteria; Enterobacterales; Enterobacteriaceae
Description: bacterial SSU rRNA
Rfam family: Bacterial small subunit ribosomal RNA
Source: RNAcentral